This 497-nucleotide ribosomal RNA is filed under the name uncultured bacterium. RNAcentral describes it as "partial 16S ribosomal RNA". It matches the Rfam family "Bacterial small subunit ribosomal RNA", at positions 28 to 507 of the family's 1533-position model. The record is from RNAcentral.
GAUGAACGCUGGCGGCGUGCCUAAUACAUGCAAGUCGAGCGAACGGACGAGAAGCUUGCUUCUCUGACGUUAGCGGCGGACGGGUGAGUAACACGUGGAUAACCUACCUAGAAGACUGGGAUAACUUCGGGAAACCGGAGCUAAUACCGGAUGAUAUUUUGAACCGCAUGGUUCAAAAGUGAAAGACGGCCUUGCUGUCACUUAUAGAUGGAUCCGCGCUGCAUUAGCUAGUUGGUAAGGUAACGGCUUACCAAGGCAACGAUGCAUAGCCGACCUGAGAGGGUGAUCGGCCACACUGGAACUGAGACACGGUCCAGACUCCUACGGGAGGCAGCAGUAGGGAAUCUUCCGCAAUGGGCGAAAGCCUGACGGAGCAACGCCGCGUGUGCGAUGAAGGCCUUCGGAUCGUAAAGCUCUGUUAUUGGGGAGGAACAUAUGUGUAAGUAACUGUGCACAUCUUGACGGUACCUAAUCAGAAAGCCACGGCUAACUACGUG